CGCUGCUGGAAGGAGCAGAACAAUUCCUCCUCCGAGGCUUGGCGUGUGUGCUCCACCGUGAAGUUGAUCCCUCCUCCAGCCUGGUGAAUGUCCAUUUACCUUCAUUGCAAACUCGUGGACUCUUUCUCCCGCCCACACCGGAUGUGUGUGCGCAUCCACCAAACCUGCAGUCAAAGGAUCUCACAUGCAAACUCUAGAUACAGUGAAGGACCUUGACUACAGACCUCACCUUCUGCCUCUUGAGUGUUGGGACUGCACACCUGGAUCAGUAUCCAGGAUUUUUAAGAAAAAGAGUCUACAGAAUCUUCUGGAAGCAGUAAAGCAAAG
Long non-coding RNA from Apodemus sylvaticus (European woodmouse), 327 nucleotides. RefSeq lists it as uncharacterized. The record is from RefSeq and is a predicted model, not a curated record. The transcript is spliced from 3 exons. NCBI's taxonomy places the organism in Eukaryota, Metazoa, Chordata, Mammalia, Rodentia, Muridae.